Molecule: ribosomal RNA, 447 nt
Filed under: uncultured bacterium
Lineage: Bacteria
Description: bacterial SSU rRNA
Rfam family: Bacterial small subunit ribosomal RNA
Source: RNAcentral
UCGGGAAUUUUGGGCAAUGGGCGAAAGCCUGACCCAGCAACGUCGCGUGAAGGAUGAAGUAUUUCGGUAUGUAAACUUCGAAAGAAUAGGAAGAAUAAAUGACGGUACUAUUUAUAAGGUCCGGCUAACUACGUGCCAGCAGCCGCGGUAAUACGUAGGGACCAAGCGUUGUUCGGAUUUACUGGGCGUAAAGGGCGCGUAGGCGGAAGGAUAAGUUAGUUGUGAAAGGCCUGGGCUUAACCUAGGAACUGCAAUUAAGACUGUCCAUCUAGAGUUGAGUAGAGGGGAGCGGAAUUUCCGGUGUAGCGGUGAAAUGCGUAGAUAUCGGAAGGAACAUCAGUUGCGAAGGCGGCUCUCUGGACUCAAACUGACGCUGAGGCACGAAAGCGUGGGUAGCGAACAGGAUUAGAUACCCCAGUAGUCCCUGAGCGGGCUGGCAAGGCGCAU